Molecule: ribosomal RNA, 1308 nt
Filed under: uncultured Pleosporales
Lineage: Eukaryota; Fungi; Ascomycota; Dothideomycetes; Pleosporales
Description: eukaryotic LSU rRNA
Rfam family: Eukaryotic large subunit ribosomal RNA (bases 698-1308)
Source: RNAcentral
UUAACGUGGGGUGGCCGGUCCAUGUGCAAGGCGGGGUCAACCUUGCUCUUGUGCAACCGUGCCCUCCCGAAGAAAUCGGUGUGAACACAUGCGUGCCACUGUUCGGUCGCUUAACAGGAUCCCUUAAGCUCCCAGGCAACGUUCUUGCUGGUUGAGCGUCCUGUUCCAUGGUAGGAAACCGUCCAAGGACGGUCAAAGCGACCCUGCUGGCUGGCCCCUGACACAGGGGCCCAUGCCAACUGGACCCGGGCAGUGGCCCAUGUGCUCGCAUGCCUGAACCCGUGUUUUGGCGUACUAUCUGUUUCCUCGGCGGGCUCGCCCGUCAAUGGGGACCAACCUAAACCUAUUUUGCAGUAGCAGUACUGUCUGAAUCGAAAGAAAACAAUCAAAACUUUCAACAACGGAUCUCUUGGUUCUGGCAUCGAUGAAGARCGCRGCGAAAUGCGAUAAGUAGUGUGAAUUGCAGAAUUCAGUGAAUCAUCGAAUCUUUGAACGCACAUUGCGCCCUUUGGUAYUCCUUAGSGCAUGCCUGUUCGAGCGUCAUUUGAACCCUCAAGCUCUGCUUGGUGUUGGGUGCCUGUCCCGCCUCUGGCGUGGACUCGCCUCGAAGACAUUGGCGGUUGGUGCAUCGGCCGGAAGCGCAGCACAUAGCGCAACCCGCUCUUCACCCUCCCUCCAGGAAGCCAAACUCACACCUUGACCUCGGAUCAGGUAGGGAUACCCGCUGAACUUAAGCAUAUCAAUAAGCGGAGGAAAAGAAACCAACAGGGAUUGCCCUAGUAACGGCGAGUGAAGCGGCAACAGCUCAAAUUUGAAAUCUGGCCUCUUUGGGGUCCGAGUUGUAAUUUGCAGAGGGUGCUUUGGCGUUGGCAUCGGCCUAAGUUCCUUGGAACAGGGCGUCGCAGAGGGUGAGAACCCCGUACGUGGCCGCCUGCCUUCGCCGUGUAAAGCCCCUUCGACGAGUCGAGUUGUUUGGGAAUGCAGCUCUAAAUGGGAGGUAAAUUUCUUCUAAAGCUAAAUACUGGCCAGAGACCGAUAGCGCACAAGUAGAGUGAUCGAAAGAUGAAAAGCACUUUGGAAAGAGAGUCAAAAAGCACGUGAAAUUGUUGAAAGGGAAGCGCUUGCAGGCUAUCGAUGAAGAGCGCGGCGGUUCCCCCGGUCUUUUGGCCGGGCUACUCCGUCGUGUCCAGGCCAACAUCGGUUCUGAGGGUCGGUCAAAGGCUCCGGGAAUGUAUCUACUCACGGGUAGACUUAUAGACCAGGGUGUCAUGCGGCCUCUCGGGACCGAUGGAACGCGCGUCGGCUCGG